ACCAACGGGACUUACCAGGUGGUUGGUUUUGACGGCUCCUCCACGGUUGAUGAGUUCCUCCAGCGGCUGAACCAGGAGAUAGGCAUGAGAAAGCCAUCCCACUCUGGCUUUGCCCUCUUCACGGACGAUCCCUCGGGCAGGGACCUGGAGCACUGCCUGCAGGGAAGUGUCAAGGUGACAGCCUCCCACUAAGCCAGCUGAGCCCCUCCCUGCUCAGGGAUAUUGGUGGUAGGGAAAGAGCCCAUCUGAUGGGUGCCUGUUUGGUGCUGAGCCCAAGGUGCUGCCCCAGUCAGCAUUUCUGUACCAUCCUAAAAUGUACCUGGGCAGGGAGAAAAAAGCUGUUGUGUGCCCUUGUCUCUGGAGACAAGAUCGCUACACACCUACUUCCCUCGAGUGGCUGUGCAGCACCCAGAAGAAAAGCCUCUUCUCGGCUUGGUGUAGGGACAGCGAGGCCCCACAAAGCCACUGCCUACACGUGCCCACUCAGAGGCUCACAGCUGUAUGCUUGGACCCCCUGGACGUCAUGUGGUACCCAGCACCUCACUUUUACCCUUUCUGCCAGGGCCUAUGCCAUGCUUAUAGGUUGAAC
This 589-nucleotide small RNA is filed under the name Pongo abelii (Sumatran orangutan). RNAcentral describes it as "retained intron". Lineage: Eukaryota; Metazoa; Chordata; Mammalia; Primates; Hominidae. The record is from RNAcentral.